Molecule: non-coding RNA, 104 nt
Organism: Acanthosepion pharaonis
Lineage: Eukaryota; Metazoa; Mollusca; Cephalopoda; Sepiida; Sepiidae
Source: the annotation of a GenBank genome assembly
ACGGUCGCAUCACAUUGAAACAUCGAUUCCCGUAUGAUCACUGAAGUUAAGCAAUGUCGAUCUUGGUUAGUACCUAGAUGGGUGACUGCUUGAGAAUACCAGGU